GACGAACGCUGGCGGCGUGCUUAACACAUGCAAGUCGAACGGAAAGGCCCCUUUGGGGGUCCUCGAGUGGCGCACGGGGGAGUAACCCGUGAGUAACCUGCCCUUGACUUCGGGAUAACUUCAGGAAACUGGGGCUAAUACCGGAUAGGAAUCCUUUCUCCAUGGUGGGGGUUGGAAAGCUUCGGGGGUUUUGGAUGGACUUGCGGCUUAUCAGCUUGUUGGUGGGGUAGUGGCUUACCAAGGCUUUGACGGGUAGCCGGCCCGGGGGGGCGACCGGCAACAUUGGGACUGGGAUUCGGCCCAGACUCCGACGGGAGGGAGCAGUGGGGAAGAUUGCACAAUGGGCGGAAGCCUGAUGCAGAAACGCCGCGGGCGGGAUGACGGCCUUCGGGUUGGAAACCGAUUUCAGCAGGGGCGAAGCUUGUGGUGACGGUACCUGCAGAAGAAGCACCGGCUAACUACGUG
RNAcentral lists this ribosomal RNA (465 nucleotides) under uncultured bacterium. RNAcentral's name for it is "partial 16S ribosomal RNA". It matches the Rfam family "Bacterial small subunit ribosomal RNA", at positions 28 to 507 of the family's 1533-position model. The record is from RNAcentral.